ACAGAGAGCUUGCUCUUGGGUGACGAGUGGCGGACGGGUGAGUAAUGUCUGGGAAACUGCCCGAUGGAGGGGGAUAACUACUGGAAACGGUAGCUAAUACCGCAUAACGUCGCAAGACCAAAGUGGGGGACCUUCGGGCCUCACACCAUCGGAUGUGCCCAGAUGGGAUUAGCUAGUUGGUGAGGUAAUAGCUCACCAAGGCGACGAUCCCUAGCUGGUCUGAGAGGAUGACCAGCCACACUGGAACUGAGACACGGUCCAGACUCCUACGGGAGGCAGCAGUGGGGAAUAUUGCACAAUGGGCGCAAGCCUGAUGCAGCCAUGCCGCGUGUAUGAAGAAGGCCUUCGGGUUGUAAAGUACUUUCAGCGAGGAGGAAGGCAUUAAGGUUAAUAACCUUAGUGAUUGACGUUACUCGCAGAAGAAGCACCGGCUAACUCCGUGCCAGCAGCCGCGGUAAUACGGAGGGUGCAAGCGUUAAUCGGAAUUACUGGGCGUAAAGCGCACGCAGGCGGUCUGUCAAGUCGGAUGUGAAAUCCCGGGGCUCAACCUGGGAACUGCAUUCGAAACUGGCAGGCUAGAGUCUUGUAGAGGGGGGUAGAAUUCCAGGUGUAGCGGUGAAAUGCGUAGAGAUCUGGAGGAAUACCGGUGGCGAAGGCGGCCCCCUGGACAAAGACUGACGCUCAGGUGCGAAAGCGUGGGGAGCAGACAGGAUUAGAUACCCUGGUAGUCCACGCCGUAAACGAUGUCUAUUUGAAGGUUGUUCCCUUGAGGAGUGGCUUUCGGAGCU
Molecule: ribosomal RNA, 788 nt
Filed under: uncultured bacterium
Lineage: Bacteria
Description: SSU rRNA
Rfam family: Bacterial small subunit ribosomal RNA
Source: RNAcentral